Molecule: long non-coding RNA, 672 nt
Filed under: Cricetulus griseus (Chinese hamster)
Lineage: Eukaryota; Metazoa; Chordata; Mammalia; Rodentia; Cricetidae
Description: lncRNA (ENSCGRG00015035450.1)
Source: RNAcentral
CCAGGCUUUUGCCCGAUACUCGGACUUAGUUGUGGUGCAGACGCCACAAGUAGAAGAUCCAUUAGAAUGCUCAGUACUUCUUUCCAUCUCCAGUGGCAAGGGAUGGACUCUUCACCAUCACAGCUACAAACAUGUGAGCAUGUCCUGCCUAUAUCCUUAAGAGCCAGCCUUCUGCCUUCAAAUAUCACGUCAAGAACAAAGCCCACCCAGCCUGAUCCUGAACAGGGCUUCUGUUUGCAAGGCAGGGUGGCCUUCCAGCACCUGGUCAUGAGUGUGUCAUGUAGCAAGGCCUGUACUUUCCAUGCAUGAAGAACAGAGUUCCAGAUCCAUCCACAUUUGGAAAGGCUCUUCUUCAGUUAUACAAGUGCUGCAGAGCACAGGAUCGCAGAGGAAACCUGCGCACAACUGUGGAACCCCAGUGAAUCUGCUGCCGGCAUUUUGCCCCUCAUCAUCCUGAGGUGGAUUUGAUGAAGUACUUUUCUCUCUUGCAUGUCCUUUCCUCAUCAUCACCCAGGUACAUGACUGAAACACAAGCAAAAUCUGUUGCCAACACAAACACAGAAAAUUUCCAGCAUUCGGCGUGCCUGGCUUCUCCAGAAGGUAACAGGACCUGAUCAUCUUGGGCCCCAUGCUGUGAAAGAUGCCAAUAUGUGGGAGCUCAUAGUUUAUCCU